Molecule: ribosomal RNA, 228 nt
Filed under: uncultured bacterium
Lineage: Bacteria
Description: partial 16S ribosomal RNA
Rfam family: Bacterial small subunit ribosomal RNA
Source: RNAcentral
CGGGUGAGUAAUGUAUGGGGAUCUGCCUGAUGGCGGGGGAUAACUACUGGAAACGGUAGCUAAUACCGCAUAAUGUCUACGGACCAAAGCGGGGGACCUCCGGGCCUCGCGCCAUCAGAUGAACCCAUAUGGGAUUAGCUAGUAGGUAAGGUAACAGCUUACCUAGGCGACGAUCCCUAGCUGGUCUGAGAGGAUGAUCAGCCACACUGGGACUGAGACACGGCCCAG